AAAUUGAAGAGUUUGAUCAUGGCUCAGAUUGAACGCUGGCGGCAGGCCUAACACAUGCAAGUCGAACGGUAACAGGAAGCAGCUUGCUGCUUCGCUGACGAGUGGCGGACGGGUGAGUAAUGUCUGGGAAACUGCCUGAUGGAGGGGGAUAACUACUGGAAACGGUGGCUAAUACCGCAUAACGUCGCAAGACCAAAGAGGGGGACCUUCGGGCCUCUUGCCAUCAGAUGUGCCCAGAUGGGAUUAGCUUGUUGGUGAGGUAAUGGCUCACCAAGGCGACGAUCCCUAGCUGGUCUGAGAGGAUGACCAGCCACACUGGAACUGAGACACGGUCCAGACUCCUACGGGAGGCAGCAGUGGGGAAUAUUGCACAAUGGGCGCAAGCCUGAUGCAGCCAUGCCGCGUGUAUGAAGAAGGCCUUCGGGUUGUAAAGUACUUUCAGCGGGGAGGAAGGUGUUGCGGUUAAUAACCGCAGCAAUUGACGUUACCCGCAGAAGAAGCACCGGCUAACUCCGUGCCAGCAGCCGCGGUAAUACGGAGGGUGCAAGCGUUAAUCGGAAUUACUGGGCGUAAAGCGCACGCAGGCGGUCUGUCAAGUCGGAUGUGAAAUCCCCGGGCUCAACCUGGGAACUGCAUUCGAAACUGGCAGGCUUGAGUCUUGUAGAGGGGGGUAGAAUUCCAGGUGUAGCGGUGAAAUGCGUAGAGAUCUGGAGGAAUACCGGUGGCGAAGGCGGCCCCCUGGACAAAGACUGACGCUCAGGUGCGAAAGCGUGGGGAGCAAACAGGAUUAGAUACCCUGGUAGUCCACGCCGUAAACGAUGUCUACUUGGAGGUUGUGCCCUUGAGGCGUGGCUUCCGGAGCUAACGCGUUAAGUAGACCGCCUGGGGAGUACGGCCGCAAGGUUAAAACUCAAAUGAAUUGACGGGGGCCCGCACAAGCGGUGGAGCAUGUGGUUUAAUUCGAUGCAACGCGAAGAACCUUACCUGGUCUUGACAUCCACAGAACUUUCCAGAGAUGGAUUGGUGCCUUCGGGAACUGUGAGACAGGUGCUGCAUGGCUGUCGUCAGCUCGUGUUGUGAAAUGUUGGGUUAAGUCCCGCAACGAGCGCAACCCUUAUCCUUUGUUGCCAGCGGUUAGGCCGGGAACUCAAAGGAGACUGCCAGUGAUAAACUGGAGGAAGGUGGGGAUGACGUCAAGUCAUCAUGGCCCUUACGACCAGGGCUACACACGUGCUACAAUGGCGCAUACAAAGAGAAGCGACCUCGCGAGAGCAAGCGGACCUCAUAAAGUGCGUCGUAGUCCGGAUUGGAGUCUGCAACUCGACUCCAUGAAGUCGGAAUCGCUAGUAAUCGUGGAUCAGAAUGCCACGGUGAAUACGUUCCCGGGCCUUGUACACACCGCCCGUCACACCAUGGGAGUGGGUUGCAAAAGAAGUAGGUAGCUUAACCUUCGGGAGGGCGCUUACCACUUUGUGAUUCAUGACUGGGGUGAAGUCGUAACAAGGUAACCGUAGGGGAACCUGCGGUUGGAUCACCUCCUUA
This 1542-nucleotide ribosomal RNA is filed under the name Salmonella enterica subsp. enterica serovar Newport. RNAcentral describes it as "bacterial SSU rRNA". It matches the Rfam family "Bacterial small subunit ribosomal RNA". Lineage: Bacteria; Pseudomonadati; Pseudomonadota; Gammaproteobacteria; Enterobacterales; Enterobacteriaceae. The record is from RNAcentral.